UCCUAAUGAUGAGACCAAGGCGAAUGUGACCCAUACUGGCUAAGAUUGUACUUGACUGUGACCCCUUCAUGUAAAGGCCUGAAAUCUUGGCAGGUAUAGCGAAAAAUUGCUUAUUUGCUGUAAGGGCAGGCCAACAGUAACUAAUGCUUCCAUAAAUGGUGGUUUGUUUGAAGUAAAGCAUCCCACAACAUUUCACAAAGGAAGCUGAUAUCUAUGAGCGUUAAUUGUCCUGGGGCUACACUUAUGUUUCUACAUCUCAAUAGUCCAGUCUGGAGUGAGCACAUCUCUUGUAAUCUGAGGGUU
Small nucleolar RNA from Erpetoichthys calabaricus (reedfish), 303 nucleotides. The record is from Ensembl. Lineage: Eukaryota; Metazoa; Chordata; Cladistia; Polypteriformes; Polypteridae.